CGGGUGAGUAAUGCUUGGGAAUCUGGCUUAUGGAGGGGGAUAACUACGGGAAACUGUAGCUAAUACCGCGUAGUGUCGAGAGACGAAAGUGCGGGACCGAAAGGCCGCAUGCCAUGAGAUGAGCCCAAGUGGGAUUAGGUAGUUGGUGGGGUAAAGGCCUACCAAGCCUGCGAUCUCUAGCUGGUCUGAGAGGAUGGCCAGCCACACUGGAACUGAGACACGGCCCAG
This 228-nucleotide ribosomal RNA is filed under the name uncultured bacterium. RNAcentral describes it as "partial 16S ribosomal RNA". It matches the Rfam family "Bacterial small subunit ribosomal RNA", at positions 103 to 334 of the family's 1533-position model. The record is from RNAcentral.